UCUCGCUUUUGGAGAAUCGAUCUUUUUAAAGGGGAAGGGAGAGGAGGAAUAUCGUUUCUAAUUCUACUCCACUUGUUCACAGGUUGUGUGUGGUGUGGGGGGGGGACAAAAAAUGAGAAAAAAUAUAUUUAAAUAAAAGCUAAAUAUUGAAAGAAAUGAUUGAACAGGUAGGCCCUUUCUUACUUACAUUUUCAACAUAAGAAACAUUUUGUAAUUCAUGAGAAACGGUUGAUUAUUUUUUUGGUAACAUCAUUUGGCUAUAGGAGAGAAGAUAAAACAGAAGACCAAGAAGAAGAAAAAGGAAAAGAAAAAUAUGGGAGA
RNAcentral lists this long non-coding RNA (321 nucleotides) under Polistes fuscatus (common paper wasp). Its description in RNAcentral is "uncharacterized LOC122519782". Lineage: Eukaryota; Metazoa; Arthropoda; Insecta; Hymenoptera; Vespidae. The record is from RNAcentral.